This 638-nucleotide ribosomal RNA is filed under the name Chroococcidiopsis thermalis C94. RNAcentral's name for it is "bacterial SSU rRNA". It matches the Rfam family "Bacterial small subunit ribosomal RNA", at positions 97 to 761 of the family's 1533-position model. Lineage: Bacteria; Bacillati; Cyanobacteriota; Cyanophyceae; Chroococcidiopsidales; Chroococcidiopsidaceae. The record is from RNAcentral.
UCCGGACGGGGGGGGGAUACGCGUGAGAAUCUGCCUUUUGGACCGGGACAACUGCUGGAAACGGCAGCUAAGACCGGAUGUGCCCUUGGGUGAAAUAUUCAUAGCCAAAAGAGGAGCUCGCGACCGAUUAGCUAGUUGGUGGGGUAAGAGCCUACCAAGGCUGCGAUCGGUAGCCGGUUUGAGAGGACGACCGGCCACACUGGGACUGAGACACGGCCCAGACUCCUACGGGAGGCAGCAGUGGGGAAUUUUCCGCAAUGGGCGAAAGCCUGACGGAGCAAUACCGCGUGAGGGAGGAAGGCUCUUGGGUCGUAAACCUCUUUUCUCAGGGAAGAAGCAAUGACGGUACCUGAGGAAUCAGCAUCGGCUAACUCCGUGCCAGCAGCCGCGGUAAUACGGAGGAUGCAAGCGUUAUCCGGAAUGAUUGGGCGUAAAGCGUCCGCAGGUGGCACAUCAAGUCUGCUGUCAAAGCCCCCAGCUUAACUGGGAAGAGGCGGUGGAAACUGGUGAGCUAGAGAGCAAUAGGGGUAGAGGGAAUUCCCGGUGUAGCGGUGAAAUGCGUAGAGAUCGGGAAGAACACCAGUGGGCGAAAGCGCUCUACUAGGUGCAACUCGGACCUUCACACCGUGCGACAAGCC